Molecule: long non-coding RNA, 728 nt
Filed under: Mytilus galloprovincialis (Mediterranean mussel)
Lineage: Eukaryota; Metazoa; Mollusca; Bivalvia; Mytilida; Mytilidae
Source: RNAcentral
CCCCCAGCUAUUGAUCAUAGUACAUAUAUAUCGGCCGUGGACUGUCAAUGAUGUAACACACAACAGUAUACACAAGGAUUUAAAUACUGCAUUGAUUGCUAUACCUUUCCAUUCCAAUCAAUUAACACAAGACGUAACUAUGGAAACAAACUAUUCCACCCCAAAAAAGAAGACCGACAGCAAGAAUAAUUUUUUCACACAUUUAUUGUAUCCAUUGAAUUGCACACUAUACCUGUAUUGAUGAUCCUCUGCAGGGGGUAAUAUUGAUGCCAUUGAUCAGGGUGGGUUAACACAUUUCUAAUCAUUAUUAUUGCUAGUCAAUACAUUCCAAAGACAUUCUCUUAUCUUUUGUGACCUUUGUAUACAAUUAAUUCAUUUUUAAUGUUACUUUUUCAAAUUUGAAAAGUAUCUGAGAUAUAAGGACUGUUACAUAAAGGAAAUCAACAGUUUCAUCAAUGAAUGUUUAACAACAUAUGUUGCUGUUUUUAUUGAGCUAGGUGGCUUGUAAGUACUUGAGAUAUGGAUGUCUAACUACAUUUUAAUUCAUUAACAUAAUGUUUGAAAGAUAAGACCUUUAUAUGAUCAAAGUCUUUUUAAAAUGUCAAUGCUAAUAGUUUUAAUAUAACUAUUGCUGCUUACAUGAAAACGAAAACAACACUGUAUCAAUUCCAUGAAUUCAAAACUCUCUCCUGAAUUUGACUUCUGACAUGUCAUGACCACUUAAAGCC